AGCUCCAAUAGCGUAUAUUAAAGUUGUUGCAGUUAAAAAGCUCGUAGUUGGAUUUCUGGUUUAGAUUUGAGUUGGCCCACCGGCACUCGCUGGUCGGCGCCGAUACGAGUCUGCCAUCUUUCUAGAAAACUGGCCUGCCCUUCGUUGGGUUGGGUCUGGGAUCUAGAUCUUUUACUUUGAAAAAAUUAGAGUGUUUAAAGCAGGUAUGUUGCUAUGAAUACAUUAGCAUGGAAUAAUAAUUUAGGACUUCGUUGUCUUAUUUUGUUGGUUUCUAGGACCGAAGUAAUGAUUGAUAGGGAUAGUUGGGGGUGCUAGUAUUCAGCGGCCAGAGGUGAAAUUCUUGGAUUCGCUGAAGACUAACUUAUGCGAAAGCAUUCACCAAGGAUGUCUUCUUUAAUCA
This 400-nucleotide ribosomal RNA is filed under the name phytoplankton environmental sample. Its description in RNAcentral is "partial small subunit ribosomal RNA". It matches the Rfam family "Eukaryotic small subunit ribosomal RNA", at positions 587 to 979 of the family's 1831-position model. The record is from RNAcentral.